Molecule: ribosomal RNA, 505 nt
Filed under: uncultured bacterium
Lineage: Bacteria
Description: partial 16S ribosomal RNA
Rfam family: Bacterial small subunit ribosomal RNA
Source: RNAcentral
GACGAACGCUGGCGGCGUGCCUAAUACAUGCAAGUAGAACGCACAGUUUAUACCGUAGCUUGCUACACCAUAGACUGUGAGUUGCGAACGGGUGAGUAACGCGUAGGUAACCUGCCUGGUAGCGGGGGAUAACUAUUGGAAACGAUAGCUAAUACCGCAUAAUAUUAAUUAUUGCAUGAUAAUUGAUUGAAAGAUGCAACUGCAUCACUACCAGAUGGACCUGCGUUGUAUUAGCUAGUAGGUGAGGUAACGGCUCACCUAGGCGACGAUACAUAGCCGACCUGAGAGGGUGAUCGGCCACACUGGGACUGAGACACGGCCCAGACUCCUACGGGGGGCAGCAGUAGGGAAUCUUCGGCAAUGGACGGAAAUCUGACCGAGCAACGCCGCGGGAGUGAAGAAGGUUUUCGGAUCGUAAAGCUCUGUUGUAAGGGAAGAACGGGUGUGAGAGUGGAAAGUUCACACUGUGACGGUAUCUUAACAGAAAGGGACGGCUAACUACGUG